This 703-nucleotide ribosomal RNA is filed under the name uncultured Lachnospiraceae bacterium. RNAcentral's name for it is "bacterial SSU rRNA". It matches the Rfam family "Bacterial small subunit ribosomal RNA", at positions 50 to 753 of the family's 1533-position model. The record is from RNAcentral. Lineage: Bacteria; Bacillati; Bacillota; Clostridia; Lachnospirales; Lachnospiraceae.
AACACAUGCAAGUCGAGCGAAGCACUUUGCUUAGAUUCUUCGGAUGAAGAGGAAUGUGACUGAGCGGCGGACGGGUGAGUAACGCGUGGGUAACCUGCCUCAUACAGGGGGAUAACAGUUAGAAAUGACUGCUAAUACCGCAUAAGACCACAGCACCGCAUGGUGCAGGGGUAAAAACUCCGGUGGUAUGAGAUGGACCCGCGUCUGAUUAGCUGGUUGGUAAGGUAACGGCUUACCAAGGCGACGAUCAGUAGCCGACCUGAGAGGGUGACCGGCCACAUUGGGACUGAGACACGGCCCAAACUCCUACGGGAGGCAGCAGUGGGGAAUAUUGCACAAUGGGGGAAACCCUGAUGCAGCGACGCCGCGUGAGCGAAGAAGUAUUUCGGUAUGUAAAGCUCUAUCAGCAGGGAAGAAAAUGACGGUACCUGACUAAGAAGCACCGGCUAAAUACGUGCCAGCAGCCGCGGUAAUACGUAUGGUGCAAGCGUUAUCCGGAUUUACUGGGUGUAAAGGGAGCGUAGACGGCGACGCAAGUCUGGAGUGAAAGCCCGGGGCUCAACCCCGGGACUGCAUUGGAAACUGUUCAUCUAGAGUGCUGGAGAGGUAAGUGGAAUUCCUAGUGUAGCGGUGAAAUGCGUAGAUAUUAGGAGGAACACCAGUGGCGAAGGCGGCUUACUGGACAGUAACUGACGUUGAGGCU